Molecule: ribosomal RNA, 429 nt
Filed under: Actinomycetes bacterium
Lineage: Bacteria; Bacillati; Actinomycetota; Actinomycetes
Description: Actinobacteria bacterium partial 16S ribosomal RNA
Rfam family: Bacterial small subunit ribosomal RNA
Source: RNAcentral
UAGGGAAUCUUCCGCAAUGGGCGAAAGCCUGACGGAGCAACGCCGCGUGAGUGAUGAAGGUCUUCGGAUCGUAAAACUCUGUUAUUAGGGAAGAACAAAUGUGUAAGUAACUAUGCACGUCUCGACGGUACCUAAUCAGAAAGCCACGGCUAACUACGUGCCAGCAGCCGCGGUAAUACGUAGGUGGCAAGCGUUAUCCGGAAUUAUUGGGCGUAAAGCGCGCGUAGGCGGUUUUUUAAGUCUGAUGUGAAAGCCCACGGCUCAACCGUGGAGGGUCAUUAGAAACUGGAAAACUUGAGUGCAGAAGAGGAAAGGGGAAUUCCAUGUGUAGCGGUGAAAUGCGCAGAGAUAUGGAGGAACACCAGUGGCGAAGGCGACUUUCUGGUCUGUAACUGACGCUGAUGUGCGAAAGCGUGGGGAUCAAACAGG